RNAcentral lists this unclassified non-coding RNA (591 nucleotides) under Bombus terrestris (buff-tailed bumblebee). RNAcentral's name for it is "misc RNA ENSBTSG00005025917.1". Lineage: Eukaryota; Metazoa; Arthropoda; Insecta; Hymenoptera; Apidae. The record is from RNAcentral.
AGAAGAGGAAUAGUACAAAGAAAACAUUGCAAGAAAUGCCAACCGCAACUGUAGGUCAAUUGUAAAUAACAAAACGUACAGAAACGACUGCCAUAAAACCGUGCAGACUGAUGGCGCCUCGAUAAUAAAAUCGUCACUUCCAUCACUGUGCAAACGUUCAAGAAAUCGUUUCGUGGUGCAGUACGAAAUCGCUUAGGCGUCGUCACGUCGAGUGGUUAACGGAGCAAACGAACGGGGUUAACUGAACAGAGAGUUGGCGCAAACAGCGCAACCCUCGCCGGAUUCGUCGCCGGUGACUGAUGGCACGUCCUGGAUCCUCCGACAGCUGGAAACGUCGCCACACGCCGGCAGAAAGAGGCACUGAAGAGGGAGGAGUUAUGCAGAGAUGGCCAGAAGGUGACCUUAGUCGUGUUUUCAACAGAGUAACACACAUCAGUGCAGAUUCAAGUUUACACGAACCUUUUGCGAGACAAGUACUUUACAGAUAUAAUUAGAGUUCAUGUAAUAGAAGUUCCCUGAUUCUGUCCACUACACGUCGCUCUUCGUUUCAUGCACACAAGUAAGAUAAAUGGAUUGAAUUAACAAUAGCAG